UAAAACCUUGUGAGGUAGCUCCGGUCCACCUAAAAGGUGUAAGUGUCCGAUUAUCGGCCAUGCUCCUUUUGCAUGUGGUGGCUUUUGGUACUUCCCAGCGUUUUCAUUCUUUCUGUGGAGGAUAGGGAGUAGUAAACGGUGUACAAGAAUAGAGACAAAGAUUGUUGCAACAAUAGUUGAUACUAAGAGGUAGAACUCCAUGGCUGAGUGAGCAAAUUGAAUGCAUGGUUGUAUUUAUUUGCGAACCUAUAGAUAAUAACAGUAAAUCUUAUGGUGAUCCUUUAACGAUCAAUCAUGUCAACCUUUAACAAUAAAGUGUAAAACAAAAGACAGAAAAGUUUUAUUCUUUUUAAUCAUUUACCGUUAGGCUCUUUAUAGCUUUAUGUGUGUAGGUUAAGCUCGUACCCAUGUAUAUAAACUCCAUGUUUUUCUAUUUCCAAGUAAUGAAAUGAAUCUCUCAAACAUUUCAUCAUCUAAAAUUCUAAAAGCUUCUUUUUCCCACUUUGGACAUUCGUUGUUGUAAUGACCGAAUUCACCGCAUUUGUAGCAUUUUACAUGACUCUUGUCCCGAACACGUUCCUUACCAUCUUGGCUCCUCCCGGACCCACGACCUCUUCCCCGGCCAUGUCCAAAGCCAUCCCGAUGCGAACCGCCACCGCCACAAUGUAUACAACCAUCCGACUUUUCUUCUCUUGACAACAACAACCCACCAUGAACGUCCUCCACCUUCUCGGAUGCUUUGAUGCGCUCCUCAUAUGCCUUUAGUCUACCGACGGCUUCAUCAAAAAGCAUCGUAUCCAACUCAAAGCAUUGCUCAAUCGACGCCACAAUUUGAAGAAAGGACUUGGGCAUAGAAUCAAGUAACCUUUUCACCAAGUCAACUUCUUCAAGUUCAUGUCCGAGACUCCGUGCUUUCGAAGCUAAACCACUCAACUUGGCUGCAAAAUCAUCAACGGUUUCUCCCUCCUUCAUACGCAAGCUUUCUAGUUCCCUCUUCAAAGUUGCUAAUCGAGCCGUUCUUACCAGAUCCACACCCAAAUACCGAGUUUUUAAUCCUUCCCAAACCCUUUUUGGAUCGGUGUAAUCGGACAUUUGCAACACCAUCUCUUCUGGUAUUGCUUGAAACAAGAAAGCAAGAGCUUGUUUUUUCUUCUUUGGAUCCGAUUCUCCACCCGAUGUCUUUGCUUCAACAGUCUCCCAUAUGCCAUGUGCAUCCAUGAUGGACUUUACUUUGACUGCCCAUACUGGAUAGUUGGUUGGGGUCAAAACCGGAAUCUGAUAUGACAUUGAAUCACCAUCUUUUACUGCCAACGCCAUUUUUCCUUUCUUAUGACUGCCCCAAACUUUUCAGAUCCAACCCGUUCCAAUUGAGACUCCACUUCCACCAGUCAAGAAAACCAAGCUCCUGCUUCUUCUGUUUUCUUUUACCAGCUGUGAGUAAGCAAAAUCAAAACCCACCCGUUCUGAUUUCUUUCCGCUUCUCUUCCCCGCUUCUGGUUAGGCUCUCUUUAACCCGGAACAAGGAUCAUCAAGGAUGGAGCUGCAUCUUUUCUUGUUAUAAGAACUUACACCCCCUUCAACAGAACCUUGGUGCUCUGAUACCAAAUGUUGAUUCUGAAUUCUGAAAUCUCCCACUCAAAUGUCAAAACUCACGGAUGAAAGGAAGCUCACAAUAUAAAAUAGUUAAUGAAAAGAAAAGAGGAAGAGUCCAGAAGUUAACAGAGGAAAAAAAAAAACACAUUUUAUUCAUGAAAAGAGAUGGCAAUAUAUAGCCUUAUAGAGUACCACGUGAGCAUGAAAGUAGCCAUAUAGUUCUACCCAUUACUUCACCUAAAGAACCGAUACACCCAUGACUCAAUCUUCCAACGUCACUUUCUCAACGUACAACUCCAACAAAUUCAGUCAAACCAAAAUACCUAUUCUACCUAAUAAACUAUUAAUAAAAACAUAACAUAUAAAACUAUAAAUAAAUCUAAACCCAACCAUAUGCAUAAUCACGUGACCUUGGUAAAUAAUCGAUUAAUUCCAACAAGCGGCAAGGGACGUCUCUGCCGGUAGCAACGGUCAACUGGUGACCUUGGAUUGAUCUGAACAGGAAGGAGCGAAGUGGUGGCGGCCGAGAGAUGAAAGAAAGAGAUGGCGGCUGUAAUAUGGGGUGUUAGGUUUAGGGUUUGUGAAGGUGACAUGUUCAUAUACCCGAUCCUUUCAAACUUCAUUCCAUAACAACACCUUUGGUCCCUCCUUGAGUCUUUAAUUUUUGCCAUUUGGUUUUCCAGAGACCAACACCCCACUAAUUACUAUUUAAUUUCUGAGCCGUAAUAAUAUAAAAUAAUAUUAACAAUUACUUUCCGAGGCUCCUAAUUUAUUAUAUAAUUACUCACUUCAAAAUGGGAUGUUACAACUGAGUUGAUGAGAAACGUAAGGAAAAUUAAUCAUUUUGUUUUUUCUUUUCAAAUCCUUCCAAAUCGAAAGGAAAAAUAGGAAGGAACGUGAUCAUUUCAUUUCUCUCCACCCAUUCAUUUUAAGAAACUCGGAAUCACCAAAUUUUUUUACUUUCUUCUCAUUUUCACUAACUUUUUUUUUUCUUUUCUCUCGUUAAGUUGAACUCCAGAAUUGGGUUAAUCUUAUUUAAAAAUAGUUUUUGUAACACUAUAUUUGUAAUGUAUUUGUAAUUCACAUGUAAUUGACAUUUAAUUUAAUACUCUCUCUCUCUCUCUCUCUCUCUCUCUCUCUCUCUAUAUANNNNNNNNNNNNNNNNNNNNNNNNNNNNNNNNNNNNNNNNNNNAGACACACACUUAAUUUUGACAAUGAAGACAUUAUUAUAUGAAAACUGAUUCGUACACAGCAUAUAAAUACAAGACGAGGAGAGGCUUCAUUACAUAAUAAUUAUGAAGCUUUUAUUAACUAUAUAAGUAAUAGGAGUAUUCAAAAACAAUACUCAAGAUCCAUCACGUUCCAUACUGGCUGUCCUAAUUGGGUUAUUUUGCUCGCCCCCAUUAUAAUUGAUUGCUUUAUGGAGAAUGAUUGACGGAGUGGGAUUUGUAGGUGAUUUGAAGUUCAUAUAUCACUAACCAACUUUAUACAUAUCAGUGGCUAAACGAGGGCCCAAAAGAACAUCAAGUGGUGUUUUUUUGACAUUAGUCGCCCCCAUGCUUUCAGUCAUAUCAAUAGGUUCGUUUGUAGGUUUUUUGAGCACAAACUGUUGUAUCAAACGAGCUAGCGUUAAACCCAAAACCUGAAGGGCAAAUAAAACACCAGGGCACAUUCUUCUACCACUACCAAAAGUAAGCAAUUCAUAAUGGUUUCCCUUGACAUCAAUAUCCUUGUGACUGGUCAAGAAUCUCUCAGGCUUGAAUUCGGUGGGAUCUGACCAUAUAUUUGGGUCACGUUGCAACUUCCAAAGAUUUACCACCAGACGAGUUCCUUUUGGAAUGUUGUAGCCACCCACAAUGCAGUCCUCCACUGACUCGUGAGGAACAGAUAGCGGUCCAGCUGGGUAUAAGCGCAAAGUCUCUUUGAUGAUGGCAUUGAGGUAGACUAAGUUCUUCAGGUCUGACUCCUCCACCAGUCUGUCCCUUCCAACAUGCUCAUCAAUUUCCUCUUGGGCAGUUUCUAAUGCUUUUGGGUUGUUGAGCAACAAUGCUAAAGCCCACGUUAAUGUCACAGAUGUCGUCUCAACGCCUGCUGCUAGGACUUGCUGUGAACAGGAAUUUACACCAAUUAAAAACUCGUGGAUUAGGUUAUAUAGUUGAAAGGCUGAAGAAAUAUUUAAUGUAAUAAUGAAACACUGAGAUGAAAAGGUUGAGUUUACUAGACUUGUCGCUUUGAUAAUUGUAUCAUGGUCAAAACCCGGGAAUUCCUCUUUAGAAGCACCUCGAAGAAUGGAAAUUAGCACAUGCAUAAAGUCUUGGUUCGCUUCAUGUUGAUGUAUAUACUUACUCUCCUGUUUGUGCUCCUUUAACCAUCGGUCAAAGAUAUUGUCCAAAUCCUUCCCAAUAUUCUUCAUCAAUUUUUUGUAUCCACCCACAUCCAACCAGUUGAGAUAAGGUAUAAAAUCAGCAACCAAAAAUGCGCCAAAUAACUCAAUGUAUUUCCCUGCCACAGCCUGAAAUCGAACCCCUUCUUCAUCGUUUGGCAAAAACCUCUUUCCUGAAACAAUCCUAACAAUAAUGUUUAAAAGCAAGUUCCCAAACCAUUGACUCAUCUCCACCUUUACCAUCUGUGACUCUGAACUUUCAGUAAGUUUAUUCGUUACCCAGACAUCAUAUAACUCUUUAACGGAUGCUCUAACUUCUGAAGCUCGAAUAUGUCCAAGCAUCUCAACUCUUCGUUGAGAAAGAACCUCCAACACAAGCAUCUUACGCAUUUUUCGCCAAUAGUCCCCAUAUGGAGCACGGCCAAGCACCGCAUAAUUAUAGGCCAUGAUUUUCGAUGCCUCCAUUUUCGGUCGACUUGCAAAAGCCUUGUCAUUGGUAGUAAAGCAUUCCUUAGCAAUCGCUGCAUCACUCACCACCAAAGCUUGAUGAACACCAAGCUUGAUGGCGAAAACAGGGCCAUGUUUGUCUGCCAUGUCACCUAAAACCUUGUGAGGUAGCUCAGGUCCACCUAAAAGGUGUAAGUGUCCGAUUAUCGGCCAUGCCCCUUUUGCUUGUGGUGGCUUCAGGUUCUUCCCUGUGUUUUCCUUAUUUCUGUGGAGGAUAGGGAGUAGUAAACGGUGUACAAGAAUAGAGACAAAGAUUGUUGUAACAAUAGCUGAUACUAAGAGGUAGAACUCCAUGGCCG
RNAcentral lists this long non-coding RNA (4782 nucleotides) under Lactuca sativa (garden lettuce). Its description in RNAcentral is "long non-coding RNA (LSAT_LNC004109)". The record is from RNAcentral. Lineage: Eukaryota; Viridiplantae; Streptophyta; Magnoliopsida; Asterales; Asteraceae.